RNAcentral lists this ribosomal RNA (253 nucleotides) under uncultured bacterium. RNAcentral describes it as "partial 16S ribosomal RNA". It matches the Rfam family "Bacterial small subunit ribosomal RNA", at positions 524 to 776 of the family's 1533-position model. The record is from RNAcentral.
UACGAAGGGGGCUAGCGUUGCUCGGAAUUACUGGGCGUAAAGGGCGCGUAGGCGGACAGUUUAGUCAGAGGUGAAAGCCCAGGGCUCAACCUUGGAAUAGCCUUUGAUACUGACUGUCUUGAGUUCGGGAGAGGUGAGUGGAAUGCCGAGUGUAGAGGUGAAAUUCGUAGAUAUUCGGCGGAACACCAGUGGCGAAGGCGGCUCACUGGCCCGAUACUGACGCUGAGGCGCGAAAGCGUGGGGAGCAAACAGG